AUUGAACGCUGGCGGCAGGCCUAACACAUGCAAGUCGAACGGUAACAGGAAACAGCUUGCUGUUUCGCUGACGAGUGGCGGACGGGUGAGUAAUGUCUGGGAAACUGCCUGAUGGAGGGGGAUAACUACUGGAAACGGUAGCUAAUACCGCAUAACGUCGCAAGACCAAAGAGGGGGACCUUCGGGCCUCUUGCCAUCGGAUGUGCCCAGCUGGGAUUAGCUAGUAGGUGGGGUAACGGCUCACCUAGGCGACGAUCCCUAGCUGGUCUGAGAGGAUGACCAGCCACACUGGAACUGAGACACGGUCCAGACUCCUACGGGAGGCAGCAGUGGGGAAUAUUGCACAAUGGGCGCAAGCCUGAUGCAGCCAUGCCGCGUGUAUGAAGAAGGCCUUCGGGUUGUAAAGUACUUUCAGCGGGGAGGAAGGGAGUAAAGUUAAUACCUUUACUCAUUGACGUUACCCGCAGAAGAAGCACCGGCUAACUCCGUG
This 490-nucleotide ribosomal RNA is filed under the name uncultured bacterium. RNAcentral describes it as "partial 16S ribosomal RNA". It matches the Rfam family "Bacterial small subunit ribosomal RNA", at positions 30 to 507 of the family's 1533-position model. The record is from RNAcentral.